GACGAACGCUGGCGGCGUGCUUAACACAUGCCAGUCGAACGGAAAGGCCCUGCUUUUGUGGGGUGCUCGAGUGGCGAACGGGUGAGUAACACGUGAGUAACCUGCCCUUGACUUUGGGAUAACUUCAGGAAACUGGGGCUAAUACCGGAUAGGAGCUCCUGCUGCAUGGUGGGGGUUGGAAAGUUUCGGCGGUUGGGGAUGGACUCGCGGCUUAUCAGCUUGUUGGUGGGGUAGUGGCUUACCAAGGCUUUGACGGGUAGCCGGCCUGAGAGGGUGACCGGCCUCAUUGGUACUGAGAUACGGCCCAGACUCCUUCGGGAGGAAGCAGUGGGGAAUAUUGCACAAUGGGCGGAAGCCUGAUGCAGCAACGCCGCGUGCGGGAUGACGGCCUUCGGGUUGUAAACCGCUUUCGCCUGUGACGAAGCGUGAGUGACGGUAAUGGGUAAAGAAGCACCGGCUAACUACGUG
This 468-nucleotide ribosomal RNA is filed under the name uncultured bacterium. RNAcentral describes it as "partial 16S ribosomal RNA". It matches the Rfam family "Bacterial small subunit ribosomal RNA", at positions 28 to 507 of the family's 1533-position model. The record is from RNAcentral.